This 508-nucleotide ribosomal RNA is filed under the name uncultured bacterium. RNAcentral's name for it is "partial 16S ribosomal RNA". It matches the Rfam family "Bacterial small subunit ribosomal RNA", at positions 30 to 523 of the family's 1533-position model. The record is from RNAcentral.
AUUGAACGCUGGCGGCAUGCCUUACACAUGCAAGUCGAACGGCAGCGGGGGAGAAGCUUGCUUUUCGUGCCGGCGAGUGGCGAACGGGUGAGUAAUACAUCGGAACGUGCCCUGUAGUGGGGGAUAACUAGUCGAAAGAUUAGCUAAUACCGCAUACGACCUGAGGGUGAAAGUGGGGGACCGCAAGGCCUCAUGCUACAGGAGCGGCCGAUGUCUGAUUAGCUAGUUGGUGGGGUAAAGGCCUACCAAGGCGACGAUCAGUAGCUGGUCUGAGAGGACGAUCAGCCACACUGGGACUGAGACACGGCCCAGACUCCUACGGGAGGCAGCAGUGGGGAAUUUUGGACAAUGGGCGAAGGCCUGAUCCAGCAAUGCCGCGUGUGUGAAGAAGGCCUUCGGGUUGUAUAGCACUUUUGUCCGGAAAGAAAUGGCUCUGGUUAAUACCUGGGGUCGAUGACGGUACCGGAAGAAUAAGGACCGGCUAACUACGUGCCAGCCGCCGCCGUAA